GACGAGGACUCCUGGUCUGGCUUCUGGUCAGUACUGGGAGGACCGAGUCUUAUUUCUGGGGAAGCAAGGUGCUCUUUACUGAGUGCCUUGGGGAACCAGGACGAUUACCUUGAGAAAAAUAGAGUGUUUAAAGCAGGCUUGUGCUUGAAUACAUUAGCAUGGAAUAAUAAAAUAGGACUUUGGUUCUAUUUUGUUGGUUUUAAGGACCAAUGUC
Molecule: ribosomal RNA, 214 nt
Filed under: uncultured fungus
Lineage: Eukaryota; Fungi
Description: partial small subunit ribosomal RNA
Rfam family: Eukaryotic small subunit ribosomal RNA (bases 88-214)
Source: RNAcentral